RNAcentral lists this ribosomal RNA (497 nucleotides) under uncultured bacterium. Its description in RNAcentral is "partial 16S ribosomal RNA". It matches the Rfam family "Bacterial small subunit ribosomal RNA", at positions 28 to 507 of the family's 1533-position model. The record is from RNAcentral.
GAUGAACGCUGGCGGCGUGCCUAAUACAUGCAAGUCGAGCGAACAAACGAGGAGCUUGCUCCUCUGACGUUAGCGGCGGACGGGUGAGUAACACGUGGAUAACCUACCUAUAAGACUGGGAUAACUUCGGGAAACCGGAGCUAAUACCGGAUAACAUGUUGAACCGCAUGGUUCAACAGUGAAAGACGGUCUUGCUGUCACUUAUAGAUGGAUCCGCGCCGCAUUAGCUAGUUGGUAAGGUAACGGCUUGCCAAGGCAACGAUGCGUAGCCGACCUGAGAGGGUGAUCGGCCACACUGGAACUGAGACACGGUCCAGACUCCUACGGGAGGCAGCAGUAGGGAAUCUUCCGCAAUGGGCGAAAGCCUGACGGAGCAACGCCGCGUGAGUGAUGAAGGUCUUCGGAUCGUAAAACUCUGUUAUUAGGGAAGAACAAAUGUGUAAGUAACUAUGCACGUCUUGACGGUACCUAAUCAGAAAGCCACGGCUAACUACGUG